AGCAAGAUACUCGGUGACCUCCAAAAUAAGAACGUGCCUUUGAUAUGCAGCUACAUCAUGUUGGUUCUCACUGCUCACCCUGAGACUUUAGAACUCAACUGCUGAGAUGUCCCUGCCCAACUGAAUAUUUCUUGCAACGAGUAAUCCUGAAUGAUAAUUUCAUCUGACUGCCUUGAAACUUGUCUCAAGGGUCAGACUGUGCAAAGGGGAAAAAAAAUCCAUCAAGACACAGAUUCUGCCAUUCAUAUCUGAAGCUUGAAAGUGGAAUCAGUGAAACUGCCUAUCAAUUGACAGUGGCAGAAACUUCUGUCUAUAAAGCAAGAGAAAAGUCUCUUGUGGUUCUUCAACUCACCGCCAUGGGACUCAACUUAUCCGCUGUGUGCAAAAGGAGAAAGACUGCACUAAGCCCCCCCUUCCCUGAG
RNAcentral lists this long non-coding RNA (422 nucleotides) under Gallus gallus (chicken). Lineage: Eukaryota; Metazoa; Chordata; Aves; Galliformes; Phasianidae. The record is from RNAcentral.